AUUAACAACUUAGUACUUUUACAUGAAAGCAAACAAAUACUUUACAAGUUUAAAAGAAGCUGAAAAUGCCAAGCAAGAGGGUGAAACUAGAAUCCGACGAAAUGCUGAAAAGGAUUUUUGCAAGGAAUAUGAAAAACAAGUGAGAAAUGGAAGACUUUUUUGUACACGGGAGAGUGAUCCAGUCCGUGGCCCUGACGGCAGGAUGCAUGGCAACAAAUGUGCCCUGUGUGCUGAAAUUUUCAAGCGGCGUUUUUCAGAGGAAAACAGUAAAACAGAUCAAAAUUUGGGAAAAACUGAAGAAAAAACUAAAGUUAAAAGAGAAAUUGUGAAACUCUGCAGUGAAUAUCAAAAUCAGGCAAAGAAUGGAAUACUUUUCUGUACCAGAGAAAAUGACCCUAUUCGUGGUCCAGAUGGGAAAAUGCAUGGCAACUUGUGUUCCAUGUGUCAAGCCUACUUGUGAGUAUA
RNAcentral lists this small RNA (465 nucleotides) under Pongo abelii (Sumatran orangutan). RNAcentral describes it as "processed transcript". Lineage: Eukaryota; Metazoa; Chordata; Mammalia; Primates; Hominidae. The record is from RNAcentral.